This is a long non-coding RNA of Nicotiana tabacum (common tobacco), 818 nucleotides long. RefSeq lists it as uncharacterized. NCBI's taxonomy places the organism in Eukaryota, Viridiplantae, Streptophyta, Magnoliopsida, Solanales, Solanaceae. The record is from RefSeq and is a predicted model, not a curated record.
AAUCCAGCUACCCCCAAACCCUAAAGACCAGCCCAGAUUCCUUCGACUCCCUCUCUCACCCUUAGCCUUAAACCACCGCCGAAAAUCGCCCACGGCGGUGGCACAUCACCAGAUAACCCCAAACUAAUACCCUACAGCCUCCAUCCUCCCCUCAGUCAAAUCCCUCAAUAAUUUUCCCAAAAAAAUUGCCUAAACUCCAUGAAUUCCAAAUUUAGAAAUCGUAAAAACCCUAAAGUUUUCCUUUUGUUUGAUUUGUCCUUAUUUUGGCUCAUUUGGGAUCGAAACCUACAUCAGUCGACUUCUAUUGACAAUUGCACGAUUUUGUUGAUUUCAUUGCCACAAAACCUUGGUCAAGCUCCUCUGGAUUGCGUAGUUCAUCCCCACCUUGCCUCGCUUCUUUAUCGGGCCAGCAAGAGAUAUUUGUUGCAUACCAGCACUGUCUCGUAUGGAGAAAUCCGGCCAGUGUGUGUGUGUGGCAAUUUCUCCGUCUUGCCGGAAAUCCUUUUUCUUCUCACAAUCCAUUGGAGCACUUAGACCCAAAUGUUGUAGACUUCGGACCGUAGUAAGAUUGCUGAUUCUGGUUCAUCAAGCGACCCGAGGUAGUCCUACAGGCGUUCUCAGGCCUUGACGUCUCAUUCUAUGUACUAUUCAUGUUUCUUUCAUGUAUUUCCAGAGACAAUGUUGUAUUUAUUUCUUUCAACCUGUAUGUGUAGUACUCUUAGACCGUAUGUCAAACUGUGACACUAGUUCUGGGUAGUCGAUGCUCAAACAGUUGUAUUAGACACAUAUUCAGAUAAUUUAUUGCUUUCUUCCACUUA